GAGGGAAAGGGGGGCGGGAGCAGAGAUUCAAAGGAGGCAUGGCUAGUUGUUUACCCCAGUCCACCUUUUACACUUUAGCAAGUGGUUUGAUGGAAAACGUUUCUAUGACAUACAACUGAGAUCCCAGGUUACACACUUCUAGCAAAACACAAGCUUGAAGGUUGGUUAAGAUAUUUCUGUAGGCAAUGUUGGUUUUCUGGCCAAGAGGGGGCUAUUAACACAUUUUCUUUGACAACCAAUUCGCUAGAGGACUAGAGGCAAACAUACUUACAUUGCCUUUGAUGACCGAUAUGUUCUGGAACUAAUUGUUAGGUUAGGCGCGGUAAAAACUCAAAUCCUUUUCUUUUUAUGGAAAAACUGCAGGGGAAAUCCGGCUAGGCGGCUAGCGCUAUUUGUUGGUCUAUUUUGUUAGGUGAGUGAUUUUUUGCAUGAAAAAGUAAUUUACCAAAUCUUUUGCAGGUUAUUUUCUUGUGCACCAAUUGGUUGCGGUUAUGGUCUUUGUUGCAGCGACCGGAUGACAGGAAGAAUAUGGUGACGAGGAGAUUGUUCUUGGUGGAAUGGUGGUCGUUGGGGCUGCGUGCAUUUUGCAACGGAGACGCCGGGAGUCAAUAGAGCUUUUUUUUCCCUUCUAAAUAUCGUUACACACCUACACUACGCAGUUACAGAGUAACGAUUAUGCAUCAUUUUAUCAACCGUAGCUCUAUGUUCCAUCUCCAACAAUUUGUUGACAUAUAUGUCACGACAGACGCUUCCACUAUUAUCGAGGUGCACAAAUGAGUCCCAAGUA
Molecule: long non-coding RNA, 787 nt
Organism: Brachypodium distachyon (stiff brome)
Lineage: Eukaryota; Viridiplantae; Streptophyta; Magnoliopsida; Poales; Poaceae
Exons: 2
Source: RefSeq, a predicted model, not a curated record